UAUAAUCUAGUGUAUGGCGCACAUAAGCCUUUGAAGCUAAAAGACUGAGUUCAAAUCUCUAAAUUAUAA
RNAcentral lists this transfer RNA (69 nucleotides) under Eisenia nordenskioldi pallida. RNAcentral describes it as "tRNA-Gln". It matches the Rfam family "tRNA". From Rfam's summary of the family: Transfer RNA (tRNA) molecules are approximately 80 nucleotides in length. Their secondary structure includes four short double-helical elements and three loops (D, anti-codon, and T loops). The record is from RNAcentral. Lineage: Eukaryota; Metazoa; Annelida; Clitellata; Crassiclitellata; Lumbricidae.